CCUACGGGUGGCAGCAGUGGGGAAUAUUGGGCAAUGGGCGCAAGCCUGACCCAGCAACGCCGCGUGCAGGAAGAAGGCUUUCGGGUUGUUAACUUCUUUUCUGAGGGACGAAGAAAGUGACGGUACCUCAGGAAUAAGCCUCGGCUAACUACGUGCAAGCAGCCGCGGUAAUACGUAGGUGGCGAGCGUUCUCCGGAUUUAUUGGGUGUAAAGGGCGUGUAGGCGGGAAAUCAAGUCAGAGGUGAAAACUCAGGGCUCAACCCUGGGCCUGCAUUGGAAACUGGUUUUCUUGAGUGCUGGAGAGGCAAUCGGAAUUCCGUGUGUAGCGGUGAAAUGCGUAGAUAUACGGAGGAACACCAGUGGCGAAGGCGGAUUGCUGGACAGUAACUGACGCUGAGGCGCGAAAGCGUGGGGAGCAAACAGGAUUAGAUACCCGUGUAGUC
This 443-nucleotide ribosomal RNA is filed under the name uncultured bacterium. RNAcentral's name for it is "partial 16S ribosomal RNA". It matches the Rfam family "Bacterial small subunit ribosomal RNA", at positions 338 to 795 of the family's 1533-position model. The record is from RNAcentral.